RNAcentral lists this ribosomal RNA (504 nucleotides) under uncultured bacterium. RNAcentral's name for it is "bacterial SSU rRNA". It matches the Rfam family "Bacterial small subunit ribosomal RNA", at positions 28 to 521 of the family's 1533-position model. The record is from RNAcentral.
GAUGAACGCUAGCGAUAGGCCUAACACAUGCAAGUCGAGGGGCAUCACAUGAGGCAGCAAUGCCGAUGGUGGCGACCGGCGCACGGGUGAGUAACACGUAUGCAACCUGCCUUCAACAAGGGGAUAACCCGUUGAAAAACGGACUAAUACCCUAUAAUACAGGGGUCCCGCAUGGGGAUAUUUGUUAAAGAUUGAUCGGUUGAAGAUGGGCAUGCGUUCCAUUAGCUGGUUGGUGAGGUAACGGCUCACCAAGGCAACGAUGGAUAGGGGAACUGAGAGGUUUAUCCCCCACACUGGUACUGAGACACGGACCAGACUCCUACGGGAGGCAGCAGUGAGGAAUAUUGGUCAAUGGACGCAAGUCUGAACCAGCCACGUCGCGUGAAGGAAGACGGCCCUACGGGUUGUAAACUUCUUUUAUACGGGAAUAAAGUGCCCCACGCGUGGGGUUUUGCAUGUACCGUAUGAAUAAGGAUCGGCUAACUCCGUGCCAGCAGCCGCGGU